Molecule: unclassified non-coding RNA, 453 nt
Filed under: Cymbalaria hepaticifolia
Lineage: Eukaryota; Viridiplantae; Streptophyta; Magnoliopsida; Lamiales; Plantaginaceae
Description: external transcribed spacer
Source: RNAcentral
GGUGAUCGGCGUGUGAGGGUAUGUUGGAUCCCUGUUUGUGCAGCGACAAUGUCCCCGUCCAUGCCUCUUCAUUGUUUGAUUCAAGUGCUUAAUUGCCUUGGUCGCCUCGGGUUGCCUGUGUUGUGUACCAAUCUUGAAGGCAUUGGUUUGGCUAAAAACGUCCCGUCUCCUCGUAGUGCUGCUUACCACGUGUUUGUGGCACGAGGGGGAACCAAAAAGCAGUCGACGUGUAUCCACUUCUUUUUCGUGCGUGCAUGAAGGGAAUUUGGCCCAUGUCGGCUCGCUCGAUCUCUCGGUUGCGGUGCAUAAUUCGGGUAUGAGGCCCCCGAGCCUCUAUUCUGCCCAUACAACAAGCGUUCUACGCUUCAUGCGAACGACACUCGUCACCGUUUUGGUCGGGUCCUCGUGGCUUCGAUUCAUGCGGUGCGGCGUCGAUGAAGGAAUGCUACCUGG